GACGAACGCUGGCGGCGUGCUUAACACAUGCAAGUCGAACGGAAAGGCCCUGCUUUUGUGGGGUGCUCGAGUGGCGAACGGGUGAGUAACACGUGAGUAACCUGCCCUUGACUUUGGGAUAACUUCAGGAAACUGGGGCUAAUACCGGAUAGGAGCUCCUGCUGCAUGGUGGGGGUUGGAAAGUUUCGGCGGUUGGGGAUGGACUCGCGGCUUAUCAGCUUGUUGGUGGGGUAGUGGCUUACCAAGGCUUUGACGGGUAGCCGGCCUGAGAGGGUGACCGGCCACAUUGGGACUGAGAUACGGCCCAGACUCCGACGGGAGGCAGCAGUGGGGAAUAUUGCACGAUGGGCGGAAGCCUGAUGCAGCAACGCCGCGUGCGGGAUGACGGCCUUCGGGUUGUAAACCGCUUUCGCCUGUGACGAAGCGUGAGUGACGGUAAUGGGUAAAGAAGCACCGGCUAACUACGUG
This 468-nucleotide ribosomal RNA is filed under the name uncultured bacterium. RNAcentral's name for it is "partial 16S ribosomal RNA". It matches the Rfam family "Bacterial small subunit ribosomal RNA", at positions 28 to 507 of the family's 1533-position model. The record is from RNAcentral.